UCUCUGGUGGUCCAGUUGUUAGAGGACUCAGCACUUUCGCUGCUGAGAAACAGGUUUGAUCCCUGAUGGGGGAA
Molecule: transfer RNA, 74 nt
Filed under: Ovis aries (sheep)
Lineage: Eukaryota; Metazoa; Chordata; Mammalia; Artiodactyla; Bovidae
Rfam family: tRNA
About the family: Transfer RNA (tRNA) molecules are approximately 80 nucleotides in length. Their secondary structure includes four short double-helical elements and three loops (D, anti-codon, and T loops).
Source: Rfam by way of RNAcentral